CGCCUGUUUAUCAAAAACAUCUCUCUAUGAAGAUGUAUAAAGUUUAACCUGCCCACUGAUCCAUUUAAAGGGCCGCAGUAUUAUAACUGUGCAAAGGUAGCAUAAUCAAUAGUUUUUUAAUUGAAAACUUGAAUGAAUGGUUGGACGAGAAAUAAACUGUCUCUUUUAAAUAAAUUGAAAUUUACUUUUAAGUAAAAAGGCUUAAAUUUCUUUAAGGGACGAUAAGACCCUAUAAAUCUUUAUAUUAAAUAUUAUUUAUCUUAUAAAUAUAUUAUUAAAUAAAAUAAUUAAUAUAUAAUAUUUUAUUGGGGUGAUAUAAAUAUAAUAAAUAACUAUUUAAUUUUAAUUACAAUAAUUUUUGAUUUUAUUUUAAAAGAUCCUUUAUUAAGAUUUUUAGAUCAAGUUACUUUAGGGAUAACAGCGUUAUUUUUUUUAAGAGUUCUCAUCAAAAAAAAAGUUUGCGACCUCGAUGUUGAAUUAAAAUAUCCUUAUGGUGCAGAAAUUAUAAGAGAAAGUCUGUUCGACUUUUAAAAUUUUACAUGAUUUGAGUUCAAACCGGCGUAAGCCAGGUUGGUUUCUAUCUAGA
This 586-nucleotide ribosomal RNA is filed under the name Uroptychus thermalis. RNAcentral describes it as "partial large subunit ribosomal RNA". It matches the Rfam family "Bacterial large subunit ribosomal RNA", at positions 1797 to 2648 of the family's 2925-position model. The record is from RNAcentral. Lineage: Eukaryota; Metazoa; Arthropoda; Malacostraca; Decapoda; Chirostylidae.